UCGACCUGAACUCAGACGUGAACACCCGCUGAACUUAAGCAUAUCAGUAAGCGGAGGAAAAGAAACUAACGAGGAUUCCCUUAGUA
Molecule: ribosomal RNA, 86 nt
Filed under: Globodera sp. WK1
Lineage: Eukaryota; Metazoa; Nematoda; Chromadorea; Rhabditida; Heteroderidae
Description: partial 28S ribosomal RNA
Rfam family: Eukaryotic large subunit ribosomal RNA
Source: RNAcentral